UACGGAGGAUCCUAGCGUUGUCCGGAUUUAUUGGGUUUAAAGGGUGCGUAGGCGGAUUACUAAGUCAGGGGUGAAAGCCGGUAGCUUAACUAUCGAAUUGCCUUUGAAACUGGUAGUCUUGAAUACUGUUGAGGUGGGCGGAAUGUAUCAUGUAGCGGUGAAAUGCUUAGAUAUGAUACAGAACACCGAUUGCGAAGGCAGCUCACUAAGCAGUUAUUGACGCUGAGGCACGAAAGCGUGGGGAUCAAACAGG
This 253-nucleotide ribosomal RNA is filed under the name uncultured bacterium. RNAcentral describes it as "partial 16S ribosomal RNA". It matches the Rfam family "Bacterial small subunit ribosomal RNA", at positions 524 to 776 of the family's 1533-position model. The record is from RNAcentral.